UACGAAGGGGGCUAGCGUUGCUCGGAAUCACUGGGCGUAAAGCGCACGUAGGCGGAUCUUUAAGUCAGGGGUGAAAUCCCAAGGCUCAACCUUGGAACUGCCGUUUGAUACUGGGGGAUCUCGAGUCCGGAAGAGGUUGGUGGAACUGCGAGUGUAGAGGUGAAAUUCGUAGAUAUUCGCAAGAACACCAGUGGCGAAGGCGGCCAACUGGUCCGGUACUGACGCUGAGGUGGCGAAAGCGUGGGGAGCAAACAGG
RNAcentral lists this ribosomal RNA (256 nucleotides) under uncultured bacterium. Its description in RNAcentral is "partial 16S ribosomal RNA". It matches the Rfam family "Bacterial small subunit ribosomal RNA", at positions 524 to 776 of the family's 1533-position model. The record is from RNAcentral.